Molecule: long non-coding RNA, 2077 nt
Organism: Diorhabda carinulata
Lineage: Eukaryota; Metazoa; Arthropoda; Insecta; Coleoptera; Chrysomelidae
Exons: 3
Source: RefSeq, a predicted model, not a curated record
ACAAUCGUUGUUGAUAGAUUUGUUGUUAGCAAAUCAAAACAAUUUCAUAUAUUCGCAUACUUUCAAAACAUGUGUAGUGUAAGUUAUUUAAUUAUUAAAUAAACGUAAUCAAAGGAAUUAUUUAUUUUCGUUAUGUUUGUCUAUUUAUUUAAUUUAUCGAUUCAGAGGCUGGAUUGUGAAUAAAUUAUUUGUUUUAUUUGUUAUUUGACUUAAAGAAAACGAAUUCUUUUUUUUUCUACUCUAAUAUGAGUAUUUAUUAAUGAAACGAAGCAGGAAUUUAUAGGAAACAAAGGGGUUGUUCAGUGAGAAAAUAUUUGGAAACCUCUAGAAUAAAGGAACAAGUUACAUAAAGUAUUCCACCAAAAAAAUAAAAAGUUGAAAUGUCGGAAAAUAACUACAAAAAACGAGUUUUUACACCUCGAACUGGUCUGUUUUACAAAAAAUUCUAUUCAAUUUAUUUCGUUUGUUGUUUAGUUGGUAAAUUUUUGGAGAAAUCUGGAAUAAAAAAAUAAGUUUCCUAAAAUAUUCCACCCAAAAAAUUAAAAUGGCGAGAAAAAAACUGCAAAAAUCGAGUUUGUACAUUUUGAACUGGCCUAUUAUUAAAAAAAUUCUGUUCAAUUUAUCUGGUUUGUUGAUUUGAGGGCUUGUUUAGUGAAAAAUGUUUGGAAAUCUCUGGAAUAAGGGAAACAAUGCCCUAAAAUAUUCCACCAAAAACUCAAAAAGUUGAAAUAUCUACAAAAAUCCGGUUUUUACAACUCGAACUGCCCUUUUUUUACAAAAAAUUCUAUUCAAUUUAUUUGUUUUGAUGAUUUGGGGGGUUGUUUAGUGAGAAAAUGUCUGUAAAUCUCUGAAAUAAUUUUCCAUCAAAGCAAUAAAAAGUUGAAAUGAAAAAAAGUGAGUUUUAAUAUCCUAAACUGGCCUAUUCUACUAAUCAGAAUUUUAGUGUUCCAAAAUAUUCCACCAAAACAAUAAAAAAUUUUCACAGCGCAAUAUUAAAUCGAAUUGAAUUUGGUUUACCCAAAUAUUCCACCAAUAAAAACGUAACCUGGCCUAUUUUACACAACAUUUAAUGGAAUUUACGUGUUUCAAUUAUUUAAAGGGAAAGCAUCAUUCAAAAAAUUCUAAAAUAAAAAUUUUGGUUUCCCAAAAUAUUCCACCAAAACAUCAAAAAAAUUCAUACUUUCAUUAGAAAAUCCACUUUUUUUAGUUUAAAACCAUAAUUUUAUCGAUUUUAAUAAUCCAUUUUUCACCAUAUUAUUUAAACUACUUCAGAAUAGAUAAAAGAGAAUCAAUAUCGGAAGAAUUAUAACAAAUGUUGGAUCAGAAAACGAUAAACAAUAAAAAUUAAUUUACUACAUGCAAAAUAGAACAUUUUUUGUCAUUAUUUUCGAAACUAACACCCUGUGUACGGUUUUGUUUAGGAAAAAUUGAAUAAUUUUUCGAUUUUUUAAAGGAAAUAUUAAAAUGGGCACAAUUACGAGAAACGCAGACAUUUUUUCGUUAAAAUUUAAGAAAAACACGUACAUGAUAAUAACAAUAAUAAUAAUAAUAAUGCUACAAAUCCUAAUGAUUCUAUAUAUUAUACUAUUCAGCGUUGAAUGGUAGGAUGGGUGCAAUGUUCCUAGAAACAAAAAUUUUUGUCAUCUUUAAAUAACUAUUAAAGAAAACAAAAUUAAACAAAAAGAAAAGAUUUUGUGCUGAAAAUAUGAAUGGAUUUGUAUAAGUAAACGUCAAAAUCUUUUUUGUACCUUUUGAUCGUUCAUUAUAAAUUCAGUACUGAAACUGCAAUAUAAUUAAAAUUUGGCAACGUUGUAGAAGAGAUUCAUUCGCGUCUGGAAACAGAGUGACGUCACACACCGCCAUUGUUAUCGUAGGUCAUUGACCACUUUCCAAACAAGGCACCAUCGAAAAAAAAUUGAAAUACGACGUAACCUCCCAAAAAAAAAUACGAGGUACCGUCUAAAACAAAUUGCAAUACGAGGUAUCAUCGUUAACAAAUUGAAAUACGACGUAAUACCAUGAAAAAUACGAGGUAUUGUCGAAAACAAAUUGAAAUACGACGUUACAUCAAAAAAAA